This 65-nucleotide transfer RNA is filed under the name Disteniidae sp. BMNH 899837. RNAcentral's name for it is "tRNA-Trp". It matches the Rfam family "tRNA". Rfam says of the family: Transfer RNA (tRNA) molecules are approximately 80 nucleotides in length. The record is from RNAcentral. Lineage: Eukaryota; Metazoa; Arthropoda; Insecta; Coleoptera; Cerambycidae.
AAGGAUUUAGGUUAAAUUAAACCCUUAGCCUUCAAAGCUAGAAAUAGGAGGUUCCCUAAGCCUUA